GUAUUAAAGCAUAGAUUAAGAAUAACAACAAAAAAUUGUAAUGCUUUCAUUUCUCUAUAAUAGGUAUAGAGUUUAUUUUAAGUACAGCAAAACUUCUUUAUGUGAUUUGGACGCAUUAAUUAAUAACAAAGGUCCCCAAAUGAAAUUAUGUUUGUGCUUGAGGGUUGCUAUCAGACAUUAAACUUUGAAGGACGGGUCAUACAAAAUUGAAGUGAAGAAAUGGCAACGGCAGCACUAAAACAAAAUGUUCAACAGCCGAGAGACGGCAUGAUUUUUUAAUGCACUGGCAAAUAAUUUGUCCGUAAGGUGCCUUACCUACUCCGACUGCCAGCAUACCUUUUUCUGUUUUGUUUUUGUUUUUUCUGUUUUUGGUGGGUGCCCCUUUUGGGUCAAGCGCUUUGGCGUGACCAAGCUCAAGAAAUCGGAAUUGACUUUUAUGUUGGUCAUAAAAAGGAUUUUAAUGUGUUUUAUGCGCGCCAACGCAAAGUCAACAGGCCGCAUGGCUGACCACGCACAUGCCAAGGCCAACGGAGAAUAUACUCGUAGUCGUAUAACUUGGCCUACACAUAAAUCCACGAAAAAUACCAAAGAAGCUGCCCAAAACGGAAUUACGCGACUCUGCGUGUGUGCUGGCGAUAUACCACUUGGGAUACGCGUCAACGUUCGCAAUUUGCUGGAGGACAUUCAUUUCGAGUACACACACAUGACAUGCCACAUGGAACGGCACAGCACGAGCUGCACAACGUUCUACCACCUGGCUGUGCCACCUGGCGUAUGAGUGACGCAUGGCUCAACAUUUGUUAUGGCUUACGAUCUAUUCCAAGGCCUCCCACCAUCCCAUCCCUGGGAAUCGUCUCAAGUUGAAGCUUUUUUAUUACCUGUUUCCUGUUUGUGUUGCCUUGUCUCUCAGCCUGUCAAAAUUUAUGCUAUAAAAUUUCCCGUGUAAAACUAACGUCAAGUAUACGCCCGCGUGGCCGAGCCAACAUUCUUGCUGUGAGCCUUCCCUUUUUUGGCCAGGCUCGGCAUUGUUAGCUUUGCUCGCUUCAUUUUUCAAAAUGAUUUCU
Molecule: long non-coding RNA, 1064 nt
Organism: Drosophila sulfurigaster albostrigata
Lineage: Eukaryota; Metazoa; Arthropoda; Insecta; Diptera; Drosophilidae
Exons: 4
Source: RefSeq, a predicted model, not a curated record